RNAcentral lists this microRNA (22 nucleotides) under Drosophila virilis. RNAcentral's name for it is "dvi-miR-974-1-3p". Its record names the gene dvi-miR-974-1-3p. The record is from miRBase by way of RNAcentral. Lineage: Eukaryota; Metazoa; Arthropoda; Insecta; Diptera; Drosophilidae.
AUAAGACUUUUUUGGUCGUUAG